This 344-nucleotide unclassified non-coding RNA is filed under the name soil metagenome. RNAcentral describes it as "partial contains 5.8S ribosomal RNA, internal transcribed spacer 2, and large subunit ribosomal RNA". The stretch from base 1 to 119 matches the Rfam family "5.8S ribosomal RNA", at positions 35 to 154 of the family's 154-position model. The record is from RNAcentral.
GAUGAAGAACGCAGCGAAAUGCGAUACGUAAUGUGAAUUGCAAAUUCAGUGAAUCAUCGAGUCUUUGAACGCACAUUGCGCCCCCUGGUAUUCCGGGGGGCAUGCCUGUCCGAGCGUCAUUGCUGCCCUCAAGCACGGCUUGUGUGUUGGGCCCCGUCCUCCGAUCCCGGGGGACGGGCCCGAAAGGCAGCGGCGGCACCGCGUCCGGUCCUCGAGCGUAUGUGGCUUUGUCACCCGCUCUGUAGGCCCGGCCGGCGCUUGCCGAUCAACCCAAAUUUUUAUCCAGGUUGACCUCGGAUCAGGUAGGGAUACCCGCUGAACUUAAGCAUAUCAAUAAGCGGAGG